Non-coding RNA from Ameiurus melas (black bullhead), 67 nucleotides. Lineage: Eukaryota; Metazoa; Chordata; Actinopteri; Siluriformes; Ictaluridae. The record is from the annotation of a GenBank genome assembly.
GGCACGGUGGCGUAGUGUUUAACACGUUUGCCUCCAGGCAUUGGGGGUUCGAAUCCCACCUCUGCCA